This 2878-nucleotide long non-coding RNA is filed under the name Gallus gallus (chicken). RNAcentral's name for it is "lncRNA (ENSGALG00010021929.1)". Lineage: Eukaryota; Metazoa; Chordata; Aves; Galliformes; Phasianidae. The record is from RNAcentral.
GCAAAGCAUCUGAUAUGAAAUACACUCUUUUUUCUCUGUUGUGAAAUGGAUGGAUGCACUGUGUUUGGGGUUCUUUUGCCAGAUGAAGCAAAAGAGAAGGGGAGUUAGAACAUCUAGUUAAUUCACACAGGGGAUGUUAGUGGAAGGGGCUUCUUUCUUUCUUGAAGCUUUUCAUUUUGUUUGAGAUGACUUUGUCCAGUGUAGCCCUGGAGACUCAUCUUGGCAGAGAAAGCAGAGCUUCUAUGUGGAAACUUAGUUGAUACGUAUAAACUACCUUGCCUGAUAUUAAACUCGGGUCCCUCCCUGCACUGGGAGUCUCCAUUCCGCUUCAUCUUCUGCUUCCUUCAUUUGAAAGUAACUUCUUUAUUCUGUGCGUACCAAAUAGCUGCUCCAGUUUGCAUUUUGCCUUUGAAGUAAAUGUAGUGGCUGCCAUAUGUAAUGCACAGUCUCAUAAGGUUGGUCUCUUUCCUUCCAUCUGGCAUAUUUUGCCUUCUCUGCUCAGAGUUUCAUUUUUUCUAUCAGAGGAAGAACUCACUGCACCGGUCCCUCACUGCCGUCCCUUAUGAAGCAUCCUACCUGUCCAGAAACCUCAAAAUGAAAAGAAACUUCGUGAUGAUUUUCAUAAAAUGAAAAAAAUUCUGUUCAGGCUCGUAAUAGCAGUUCAUUAAUUUCCUUCCAUCCUUCCUCACCUCUUAUAUCAAACAUCUGUGCUUUCAAAUCCUCUUCACACUGCUAUGAAAUCUAACUACUGCUACUGUUGUGCUUUCCAUUUUUAUUUGUGACAAUUCUAAGUUGCACAGGAAUGAACUUUUCUACUUUCUUUGUUAGCGUUUCCUCUUGAAGAUUCAUUUUUAUAUUGUAAAUUAUGUGGCUCCCUAGAACAGUUUUAAAAUCAGCAUCACCAUAGAAUUUCAAAUGCUCUGCUGUGAGUACAAAGGCAGUGGGGUGGAAGAGGACCUUAGUGGUCCUUUCUAAGUUAAACUUCUCUACUGUCCUUUGUGUGCAGAUAGGUACAGUAUUGACUUCUUACACCUGUAGCAUACGUUCUGUAACUAUAAACCCUGUUUUGGUGGACUUUGCUGAAGUCAGUGAAUGUGGCAAAAGAAUUCCCCUACAGAAUUAUCCUAAUAUGUGCUGUGUGCCUCUCUCCCUUUGCUUUCCUACGAGAGAAGUAAGUAGAGAGGAAUUCUCUCCCUUCAUCUGAGUCAUGUAACUCUUUGUUCCAAAGCUGCAGACAGUAAUUAGGUUUGAUCUGAUGCGUGAUCUCACAGUUGGUGCUGGAUGCUCUGUACAAGUGCUUCUCCUUCAGUGAACUAUCAAUGACAAUGGCAUUAUCAAUAUUCGCUCUGAGCAUCCUCCAAGGAAAGCUAAUGAAGCAUUCUUCACAAGCAGCUUCUGUCCUUUGUCUUCUCACGAGGAAGACUCAGCCUCUUAGAGCAGUCAUGAAGUGCGUCAUGUAGAAGUUGGGCAGCUUGCCCACAGCUUAUUGCCUUUACUCAGAUUUGAAGUUGUCACUUAAGCGUUCUUUCCCCUACCAAAAUGUCAAAGGCAUUUUCCCGAGGGACAGAGCCCACGUCAUUAUGAAAGAGAAGAAACAGCUCAUCCCAAAUCAAGGUACAAAGCCCUGAAUCCAUGGGUGAAGGAAGGGGAUGGGAAUUGCAUUUAAAGGAAUGAAGGAAUGAUCUUUGGAGAACUUUAUGAAAUUUUAUCAAAGCUGUUAUUUUGUGCAAAACCUUUUUGUUAGUUGUUGUUUCUGUUAAUUGACUUUCACUUGUUUUGAUUUAAUGUAACAGAGCAGCAGGAGUGGGAAUCCGCUACUGAACACACUCAGAAUAAUCUCAGAGGUUCUGACCUGGGUGUUUUCUUGCUCUGUGAUGGGCUGAAGGGUUUGCAGAAUACUACAGAAUGAGCACACUGAAGCUUCGGGCUGUUUGACAUGAAGGAAAAUAAGUCUGGCGUGACUGGAGCUUGGAAAUACAGCACGUGAGUGUCCUGUGGGAAUUGGGUUCUGGAUAAUGCAGCCACAAACAGGAACGGAGACCAGAGCCUGAAAUAAGGCUUGUUCCACAAAAGAUGUAAUGGAACUGACCAUGCAAUUACAGAUCAUUUUUAAAACAAGUGGUGAGAACAGGCAGCAUAAGGAGCCUUUCUACAGAGUGGAACUCUCAGCCUUUCUCUCUGUCUGGUCAGCACUCUGCCCAAGAUGUAGGACAAGGCUGCAGGUCAAUGACUGCCCAUACUGACACUCCUUUUUCAGACCAGAUGGAGGGCUUGGCUUGUGUUCUUUUGGGAUGUAUGUUUACUUCUGCAGCACUGCUGCCACUGCAGCCCCGUAGCAUAAUCCAGGUUGGGCUUCCUCGGGAAGUGUUUUGGGACAUGUUGUAGUAACUGAAUUUUGGGAGGCUUUCCAGCAAUGCAGUGUAGUUCAGGUUGGUUCUGAUCCUAGAUGCAGUGCACCAGUAACUUCCUGGUGUGAGAACUGUAAGGGGAGAGAACUGCUGGGGAUAGGUGAGUACAUUUGCCUGUUUGGUUUUCUAAACUGAGCUAAAUAAACUUAUGGGUUUGUCCCUUCCUGAAUGUAAAAGCAGCGAUAAUGAAAUUGCUGCCCCAGGAGAUGGCGCUGAGAAACCUUCUGAACAGGCCUGGAGCCCCCGGGUUUGAGUUGACGUUUAGAGGUCUCUGAAGAUAGUGCACUGAUCCAUUGUCUGAGCAGCAAUCAUCAAAUUAUCUGGAUGGGGGCUGGAACCUGACGUGGGGACAGAACAGCAAUUUCAUCACAGCUGUCCUGCUUUUCUUUAUUUCUCUGUUUGGGUUUCCUCAUGUGCUGUACACAACGAUGUUUUUAUUGGAGGCUUAGGAUCAAACUCACUGAUCAAAC